Molecule: ribosomal RNA, 497 nt
Filed under: uncultured bacterium
Lineage: Bacteria
Description: partial 16S ribosomal RNA
Rfam family: Bacterial small subunit ribosomal RNA
Source: RNAcentral
GAUGAACGCUGGCGGCGUGCCUAAUACAUGCAAGUCGAGCGAACAGACGAGGAGCUUGCUCCUCUGACGUUAGCGGCGGACGGGUGAGUAACACGUGGAUAACCUACCUAUAAGACUGGGAUAACUUCGGGAAACCGGAGCUAAUACCGGAUAAUAUAUUGAACCGCAUGGUUCAAUAGUGAAAGACGGUUUUGCUGUCACUUAUAGAUGGAUCCGCGCCGCAUUAGCUAGUUGGUAAGGUAACGGCUUACCAAGGCGACGAUGCGUAGCCGACCUGAGAGGGUGAUUGGCCACACUGGAACUGAGACACGGUCCAGACUCCUACGGGAGGCAGCAGUAGGGAAUCUUCCGCAAAGGGCGAAAGCCUGACGGAGCAACGCCGCGUGAGUGAUGAAGGUCUUCGGAUCGUAAAACUCUGUUAUUAGGGAAGAACAAAUGUGUAAGUAACUAUGCACGUCUUGACGGUACCUAAUCAGAAAGCCACGGCUAACUACGUG